This 75-nucleotide transfer RNA is filed under the name Alosa alosa (allis shad). RNAcentral's name for it is "tRNA-OTHER". The record is from RNAcentral. Lineage: Eukaryota; Metazoa; Chordata; Actinopteri; Clupeiformes; Clupeidae.
GCAGCCAUGGCCUAUUGGUUAGCACUUCGGACUUGUAACCGGAGGGUUGCAGGUUCAAACCCUGACCAGUAGGCA